RNAcentral lists this unclassified non-coding RNA (1033 nucleotides) under Rhipicephalus microplus (southern cattle tick). Its description in RNAcentral is "single-strand selective monofunctional uracil DNA glycosylase-like, transcript variant X2". Lineage: Eukaryota; Metazoa; Arthropoda; Arachnida; Ixodida; Ixodidae. The record is from RNAcentral.
UUGCGGUGAGCUAGCUUUGUACAAGGUGUUUCUCUGUGCGUGUACUGAAGCGGGUGCUACGGAGUUUCAUUUGUAUGAAACUCUAUGCUAAGAAGUAUGUGCACAGUGUCAAGCUUCAGUGCGACACGAUCGACUGUCGGCAAUAGUUGCCCAGCAUUACGCAUGGCUUGCAGUGAUGCCGCCGCCGACGAAAUUGCGGACGCUUUCCUCGCCAUCGAACAGCAGCAAAGCGAACUGCUCUCCCACAUUCCGUACGGCUCCAAAGUUUCCCACGUGUACAAUCCCCUGGAAUACGCCCGCGAAACGCACGAGUGCUACGUGCGUAAAUACUGCAGGACCAGAAAGACCGUGCUGUUUCUUGGCAUGAACCCUGGCCCCUUCGGCAUGGCCCAGAACGGGGUGCCAUUUGGCGAUACUGCACACGUCGUUGGUUGGCUGGGGAUCCAAGGCCACGUAGCCAAGCCAAAGCAUGAGCAUCCUCGAAGGCCCGUGUUGGGCCUUGGCUGCACCAGAAGUGAGGCAGGUAGUCCUUCCUCAGAACAAAGUUGAACUUGUUGGUGAGCGGCCAUCGCUUCUGGGGCCUUCUUCGGGAGAUCACUGGUGGUGGGGAGCUGCUUCGAGGUCCCUGGUUUGUGCACAACUACUGUCCCCUCGCGUUCCUGCUGCCAUCCGGUGCCAACCUGACACCCAACAAGCUACGCCUCGAAUCCCGCCAGCAUCUUCAGGCAUGACAUGCAGUUUAUGCUUGCUGUACAAGUCUUUUUGACACAGUGGUAGCCCAAUAGCUGUAGCCACUGCAACAAACAGAGGAGGUUUCAGCAGACAUUUUUAGCUGUGGCAGAUGCAUUCUCUUAAUGAUCAGCUACAAAAACAGGUGAAAACUCAUCCAGUGGGCACAUGGACAGGCAAGAACCAAGAGGCUCAUGAAUUGAGGGCUUUGCCCAAAGAAAAUGUUUAUAGCUCAAAAAUUCUUUCUUCUAGUGCUGGUUUGCUUGUCCAAGUCUUUCAUUAAAUGAAAUGUCAAGUCGUUCAC